This 497-nucleotide ribosomal RNA is filed under the name uncultured bacterium. Its description in RNAcentral is "partial 16S ribosomal RNA". It matches the Rfam family "Bacterial small subunit ribosomal RNA", at positions 28 to 507 of the family's 1533-position model. The record is from RNAcentral.
GAUGAACGCUGGCGGCGUGCCUAAUACAUGCAAGUCGAGCGAACAGAUGAGGAGCUUGCUCCUCUGACGUUAGCGGCGGACGGGUGAGUAACACGUGGAUAACCUACCUAUAAGACUGGGAUAACUUCGGGAAACCGGAGCUAAUACCGGAUAAUAUAUUGAACCGCAUGGUUCAAUAGUGAAAGACGGUUUUGCUGUCACUUAUAGAUGGAUCCGCGCCGCAUUAGCUAGUUGGUAAGGUAACGGCUUACCAAGGCAACGAUGCGUAGCCGACCUGAGAGGGUGAUCGGCCACACUGGAACUGAGACACGGUCCAGACUCCUACGGGAGGCAGCAGUAGGGAAUCUUCCGCAAUGGGCGAAAGCUUGACGGAGCAACGCCGCGUGAGUGAUGAAGGUCUUCGGAUCGUAAAACUCUGUUAUUAGGGAAGAACAAAAGUGUAAGUAACUAUGCACGUCUUGACGGUACCUAAUCAGAAAGCCACGGCUAACUACGUG